This 460-nucleotide ribosomal RNA is filed under the name uncultured bacterium. Its description in RNAcentral is "partial 16S ribosomal RNA". It matches the Rfam family "Bacterial small subunit ribosomal RNA", at positions 338 to 795 of the family's 1533-position model. The record is from RNAcentral.
CCUACGGUAGGCAGCAGUGAGGAAUAUUGGUCAAUGGACGAGAGUCUGAACCAGCCAAGUAGCGUGAAGGAUGACUGCCCUAUGGGUUGUAAACUUCUUUUAUAAAGGAAUAAAACGAGGCACGUGUGCCUUUUUGCAUGUACUUUAUGAAUAAGGAUCGGCUAACCCCGUGCCAGCAGCCGCGGUAAUACGGAGGAUCCGAGCGUUAUCCGGAUUUAUUGGGUUUAAAGGGAGCGUAGAUGGGUUGUUAAGUCAGUUGUGAAAGUUUGCGGCUCAACCGUAGAAUUGCAAUUGAUACUGGCAGUCUUGAGUACAGUUGAGGUAGGCGGAAUUCGUGGUGUAGCGGUGAAAUGCUUAGAUAUCACGAAGAACCCCGAUUGCGAAGGCAGCUUACUAAACUGUGACUGACAUUGAUGCUCGAAAGUGUGGGUAUCAAACAGGAUUAGAUACCCUUGUAGUC